AAGUCGUAACAAGGUUUCCGUAGGUGAACCUGCGGAAGGAUCAUUAACACUUACCUGUGCUUUUGCAAAACAAACACUCAGUGUUUAUUUUACAUUUCACAUGUAUUACACCAAAACCGUGCUCCCUUUUUUUUCCCACACCUCUUAACCCCUACUUAUAUAAAUUUAAAACUCUAACAGAUAUAUAUAUAUAUAAAAAAACUGUGGAAACACAUUUUUUUUUGUAUGUUUAUAUCAGUUAAAACUAUUUAAUAGUUGUUAUACAACUGUUAACAAUGGAUAUCUUGGCUCUC
This 293-nucleotide unclassified non-coding RNA is filed under the name fungal sp. RNAcentral's name for it is "partial internal transcribed spacer region". The stretch from base 1 to 46 matches the Rfam family "Eukaryotic small subunit ribosomal RNA", at positions 1786 to 1831 of the family's 1831-position model. Lineage: Eukaryota; Fungi. The record is from RNAcentral.